This 306-nucleotide unclassified non-coding RNA is filed under the name plant metagenome. RNAcentral describes it as "partial contains 5.8S ribosomal RNA, internal transcribed spacer 2, and large subunit ribosomal RNA". The stretch from base 1 to 105 matches the Rfam family "5.8S ribosomal RNA", at positions 50 to 154 of the family's 154-position model. The record is from RNAcentral.
GAAAUGCGAUAAGUAAUGUGAAUUGCAGAAUUCAGUGAAUCAUCGAAUCUUUGAACGCACAUUGUGCUCGCCAGUAUUCUGGCGGGCAUGCCUGUCCGAGCGUCAUUUCAACCAUCAAGCCCCCGGGCUUGUGUUGGGGACCUGCGGCUGCCCGCAGGCCCUGAAAACCAGUGGCGGGCUCGCUGUCACACCGAGCGUAGUAGCAAUCACCUCGCUCAGGGCGUGCUGCGGGUUCCGGCCGUUAAACAGCCUUACAAAACCCAAGGUUGACCUCGGAUCAGGUAGGAAGACCCGCUGAACUUAAGC